This is a non-coding RNA of Pelobates cultripes (western spadefoot toad), 1958 nucleotides long. The record is from the annotation of a GenBank genome assembly. NCBI's taxonomy places the organism in Eukaryota, Metazoa, Chordata, Amphibia, Anura, Pelobatidae.
UGAGAGUACAGUACAAUUUUAGAAUUCUUUCAUGACAAUAUUACACGUAUCAUCCCGCCAUUUUCCUUAUCAAUGAUAAUAAUCACAUUUAUAUGUUAGAUUCCUAAUACUCUCAGAGAUAUCAGCAAUAACAUAUAAUAAAAGGUUUGUGUUUCAUUAUUAAUAUCUAACUUUCUAUAUAAACAUUGUUCCUAAUUAAUAGCAAUUGUAAUCCCACAUGAAGAUCACCAAUUCAUAGCAAGUAUUUCCUCCUACUUCCCUUCCAAUAAUUAAUCCAGGGUUCCCAUAUUUUUAGAUAUUUCUGUUUUUCAUUAUUUGCUCCAUAAAAUAAUUCAUCCAUCGCUCAACUCCAUUCUCAACUCUAUCUAGUUGGUAUACGUGUCUUUUUAACACGUUGCACUUAUUGACUUCCAACCAUAUUCACCAUACAGUCAUACACCAAACUAGUCAAACUCAUCCAUCCAAUCACAUACUCCAAACUGGUCUCAUUCAUUCAUCCAUCCAAUCACAUACUCCAAACUGGUCUCAUUCAUUCAUCCAUCCAAUCACAUACUCCAAACUGGUCUCAUUCAUUCAUCCAUCCAAUCACAUACUCCAAACUGGUCUCAUUCAUUCAUCCAUCCAAUCACAUACUCCAAACUGGUCUCAUUCAUUCAUCCAUCCAAUCACAUACUACAAACUGGUCUCAUUCAUUCAUCCAUCCAAUCACAUACUCCAAACUGGUCUCAUUCAUUCAUCCAUCCAAUCACAUACUCCAAACUGGUCUCAUUCAUUCAUCCAUCCAUCCAAUCAAACACACACACAGCAUCAUAUGUAUUUAAUGGGUGGGGAUCAUUGAGGAAACUGGCCUUGGAGCAGCAGAGAGGGUAAAUCCAGCCGUGACAGUAAUACCCUUAUUAACAGUCUGCAGUAUUUUAGAAUGCUAAAGGGGGCUAUAUAGUGAUCCAUUUUAGAAUUCACACUCGCAAUUCUGGCAUAUUGAUUUAUUGGGCCCAUACUUAGGCAAAGCUCAGGUUUCAUAAAGAUCUUUGGAGGAGGCAAACGUUACCCGAUUUGGGACACCAAUAACGGAACACUGCAUAAAGGAAUGCUGGACCAUAGCUUAUUCAAUGAAUAUGACAGAAUAACAACACCCAGUCACAUGUCUCAUCAUGCCAUAUUAUGUGCCAAACUCAGCGAUUUCACAUGGGGGAUUUUGUGUCUCUACCCACAGAUGUUUCAUAACAAAUUUCUGAUUUAUUUAGCAGUAAUUUGUGUGGUUUUCCUACACAUUGCAUUUUUGUGUUGAAAGCCAUGAUGUGUCCUAUUACUAUAAAGUUCCAGAUUUGUAUUCAGUUGAACUCCCCAAGACCCAAGUAAAUCGAUUCGCUCAUAUAUUGCUGAGUCGGGUUUCAGGGAGGUCAUGGGGUCACAUUAAAGAAAGUUAUUCAUGUUGAUGGACUGAUUAGUUGGAUUAACAUCUUCACUGAAACAGAAUAACAGGACCCAAUUCAUAUAAUCUCAUGUUGAAUUAGUAUUCUGAAAAGUAAAAUCUGCAGGCUAUUUCACAUGAGUUGUUGGGAGUCCUUUCAUUAGGCCUGCUAAAUGACACUUUCUGCCAAAAUUGUGCUCUUUCCACUCCUUGUGGUUUCACUGUGAAUUUUGUUGGUGUUAAUAUAUCCCAUAAAUGUAAACAUUGUCACCUAAUUUGCAUUCAGCUCUAUACUCUAGCUGCAUCAUUUACGUCUCUCAAAAAUUCCAUUACCAGUUUUGUGUUAUGGAAUCAAAUUAAGACACGCCCACAUUUUGACGUGUCUCUUAACUUGCCUCCUACUGACGCAAUUUAUCAUUACACUCGCCAUCUUUGCUUUACCAGCUACCCAGCACUGAUCACAGUGCAAUAGGCUACGAAAGCAUGCUCGAUUCAUUAAUACAGGAAAAUGUUCCUGUAAUACUGUAAAAAAUCCAGUAGAUGACAG